Molecule: transfer RNA, 63 nt
Filed under: Nebria lewisi
Lineage: Eukaryota; Metazoa; Arthropoda; Insecta; Coleoptera; Carabidae
Also listed under: 1 other name
Description: tRNA-Leu
Source: RNAcentral
UUAUUUUGGCAGAUUAGUGCAAUGAAUUUAGAAUUCAUAUAUAUAAUUAUAUUAUAAAUAAUA